This 608-nucleotide long non-coding RNA is filed under the name Actinidia chinensis (golden kiwifruit). Its description in RNAcentral is "long non-coding RNA (ACHI_LNC008835)". The record is from RNAcentral. Lineage: Eukaryota; Viridiplantae; Streptophyta; Magnoliopsida; Ericales; Actinidiaceae.
AAGGUAAACGCGUAGAACUGUUUCACUUCAACUCUAUUAUGAGCUUGCACAGAAAUAUUCAUUUCUUUCGAGUUGUAGGAUCUAGUUAUAGAGGCUGUUGUGCGCUAACAUUUCUAAAUUAGAAACACAUACUAAGGGUGGAGUUUGAUCAGCAGGAGAAUGGCAGAAAGUGCCGCAAGAGAGGGGGGAAUUCCGUGUGUUCGUUUAGCAUGAGUGUAGUGAAAAAUCCAAGAAAAUAAAGAGUUUCGUACAACCCACAUAGGCAUGCAAAGCAAAAAACACCAGAAAAUGCAAAACGAGGUUAUCUAUAAUUUGGAUUUCAAGUUUACCCCUAUUUUCUUAAAUCUUAGUCCUGAGGAAGUUAUUUUUGUUUCAACGGACCAAGGCCAAUUUAGGCAAAUACAAUUUUUUCCCCAAAACUUUCUUGCAAAUUUUUCAUCCUAAUCGAAUGCACGUGCAAGAAAAUAAAUUUUAUUUUCAUUCCCUUUCUUUCACUUCAUUUUUUAUCAUUUCUAUGUUCCAGCAUUCUUUUCUUCCUAAUCAAACGGACCUUAAGGUCUGUCUGCCACUAGAAAAUAUAUAUGUUGAACUAAUAAUAUACGAUUCAA